Molecule: long non-coding RNA, 1542 nt
Filed under: Olea europaea subsp. europaea
Lineage: Eukaryota; Viridiplantae; Streptophyta; Magnoliopsida; Lamiales; Oleaceae
Source: RNAcentral
CCACAUUCCAAAUAUAUUCAUCAUUGCCAACAAUGUUAUCCAAUUCACACAAGCAUGCGAAAUAAAAUAAUGCAAAAUUAUUUAUUUAUUUUUAUUUUUUUCACACAAAGUAAAUUAACACGCGCAACAUACUUGGAACGCAACACAAUAAAAGUAGGAAAAUGCUCAACACAACUAACAACUAAGUGAAAGUAAGACCCUCCCAAACUUAAACAACACAUUACCCUCAAUGUGAAAUUGAAAGAAAGGGAAGAGUAAUACCUUGGGGAAAACAUCAAUUGUCUUCAUCGCCAUCAGGUGGAGCGGGAGGGUGUGAAUGAGGUGGAGGGAAGGUAAGCUCGGGGUAUGCAGAUGCCAUGAUCGCCAUGCAAGCGUUUUGAUAAUGAAACUGGUCAAAGAUGGCAGAUGCCAUGAUUGCCAUCCUGCCAUCGGGUCAUGCACAAAUCCAUGGCUUAAAGACGUCGAAAGAUGUUCCCCGUAGCAUCAGAAGGUUGUGGAGGCGGUGGUGUAGGAGGUAAUGGACGAGAUGACUGAGAAGAGCCAGGGACGUCCCGAUGUCCCACAUGCCUAUCACAGAGUUCCCGUGUAAGUAAUUGUUUCGGGUGUAACACUUCAUCAGUUUCUCGCACGUGAACCCUGUGUAUGCAAAGGUCAUGGAUCAAAGAGGGGUGACCCAAACUGUUUGUAGCUGGCCCGGCUAGCAGCAUUGAAUGACUCUGCCAACAUCAAUAGAAUACCCCUUCUGAAUAACAAAAUUCAAUAAGGCCCGUUCCUUGGUGACCUCGCUGGUGUUGCUACUGGGGAUCAAUUUGGAUGAUGUGAAGUGGUGCCAAAUUUUACAGUUAGGUAUCAGACCAAAGGAAGGGAAGUGAGUUACAUCACUAGCUGAUCUUUUCCAUUCAGCACCAAGGCGAGCUAUAGUGCGAAUUAUCUCAUCAAGAUCGACCCCCUCAUCGCGUAGUCGGGAAUAGUCAUCAUUGGGUAUAUCCUGCGUGUGGUAGAACCUGUUAAUUGAAAAACUGCCAAACUUGAUCCAAAAAGCCCAGACAAAAACUUUGAAGUUCUCGUGUUCAUUGGCAUUGACAUAAAAUUCUUUCACCAAAGGAAUGGAUACAGCUGUAGGUUGUUCGGUAAACUUCUCCCAUCCUAAACUGUGUAUUUUAUCUGGCAAAAAAUUUUCAAGGCCCCUCUCAGGAAUGCAAUUUCGAUGUAUCACAUUUUGUUUAUAGCGUUCCUUUGCUUCGGGACUAAUGAAUCGUCUUCGAUCAAACACUGUAGUAGAUGAAGAGGCAGUGGCCUUGAAUUUCUUUUUAGGAGGCAUGGUGUAAGUGUUCUUCCCAAUAUCAUGAAAAGUUAACCGGCCACCUAAACCAAUUCAAUGAAUUUGUCUUAGUAAAUGAAGUAUGUCUAAAGUUGGCACGAAAAUCUUAAUGAAACAAUAUUCGAACAUGUGGUAGGCGGCUAGAAUAAUCAAGUACAAAGCCUAAUACAAACCAUCAAAAAUAUCCCAAGAAUAGCACAAAAAAAAAUCUUUGGGGAAAU